GAUGAACGCUGGCGGCGUGCCUAAUACAUGCAAGUCGAGCGAACGGACGAGAAGCUUGCUUCUCUGAUGUUAGCGGCGGACGGGUGAGUAACACGUGGAUAACCUACCUAUAAGACCGGGAUAACUUCGGGAAACCGGAGCUAAUACCGGAUAAUAUUUUGAACCGCAUGGUUCAAAAGUGAAAGACGGUCUUGCUGUCACUUAUAGAUGGAUCCGCGCUGCAUUAGCUAGUUGGUAAGGUAACGGCUUACCAAGGCAACGAUGCAUAGCCGACCUGAGAGGGUGAUCGGCCACACUGGAACUGAGACACGGUCCAGACUCCUACGGGAGGCAGCAGUAGGGAAUCUUCCGCAAUGGGCGAAAGCCUGACGGAGCAACGCCGCGUGAGUGAUGAAGGUCUUCGGAUCGUAAAACUCUGUUAUUAGGGAAGAACAUAUGUGUAAGUAACUGUGCACAUCUUGACGGUACCUAAUCAGAAAGCCAUGGCUAACUACGUG
Molecule: ribosomal RNA, 497 nt
Filed under: uncultured bacterium
Lineage: Bacteria
Description: partial 16S ribosomal RNA
Rfam family: Bacterial small subunit ribosomal RNA
Source: RNAcentral